CCUACGGGAGGCAGCAGUGAGGAAUAUUGGUCAAUGGGCGAGAGCCUGAACCAGCCAAGUCGCGUGAAGGAUGAAGGAUCUAUGGUUUGUAAACUUCUUUUAUAUGGGAAUAAAGUGAGGAACGUGUUCCUUUUUGUAUGUACCAUAUGAAUAAGCAUCGGCUAACUCCGUGCCAGCAGCCGCGGUAAUACGGAGGAUGCGAGCGUUAUCCGGAUUUAUGGGGUUGAAGGGGUGCGUAGGUGGUUAAUUAAGUCAGCGGUGAAAGUUUGUGGCUCAACCAUCAAAUUGCCGUUGAAACUGGGUGACUUGAGUAUAUGAGAGGGAGUCGGAAUGCGUGGUGUAGCAGUGAAAUGCAUAGAUAUCACGCAGAACUCCGAUUGCGAAGGCAGAUUACUAAACAAUAACUGACGCUGAGGCACGAAAGCGUGGGGAUCAAACAGGAUUAGAUACCCUUGUAGUC
This 460-nucleotide ribosomal RNA is filed under the name uncultured bacterium. RNAcentral describes it as "partial 16S ribosomal RNA". It matches the Rfam family "Bacterial small subunit ribosomal RNA", at positions 338 to 795 of the family's 1533-position model. The record is from RNAcentral.